This is a transfer RNA of Camelus ferus (Wild Bactrian camel), 72 nucleotides long. It matches the Rfam family "tRNA". From Rfam's summary of the family: Transfer RNA (tRNA) molecules are approximately 80 nucleotides in length. The record is from Rfam. NCBI's taxonomy places the organism in Eukaryota, Metazoa, Chordata, Mammalia, Artiodactyla, Camelidae.
GAGGGUAUAGCUCAGUAGUAGAACGCAUGCUUAGCAAGCACGAGGUGAUGGGUUCGAUCCCCAGUACCUCCA